GCCUGAGUGGCUCAACGGUUGAGCGUCUGCCUUUGGCUCAGAGUGUAAUCCCGGGGUCCUGGGAUCGAGUCCCACAUCAGGCU
Molecule: transfer RNA, 83 nt
Filed under: Canis lupus familiaris (dog)
Lineage: Eukaryota; Metazoa; Chordata; Mammalia; Carnivora; Canidae
Rfam family: tRNA
About the family: Transfer RNA (tRNA) molecules are approximately 80 nucleotides in length.
Source: Rfam by way of RNAcentral